AUUUCCUUCGGGACUGAUUAUUUUGUGACUGAGUGGCGGACGGGUGAGUAACGCGUGGGUAACCUGCCUUGUACAGGGGGAUAACAGUUGGAAACGGCUGCUAAUACCGCAUAAGCGCACAGUACCACAUGGUACAGUGUGAAAAACUCCGGUGGUAUGAGAUGGCCUCGCGUCCGAUUAGCUAGUUGGUGAGGUAACGGCCCACCAAGGCGACGAUCAGUAGCCGGCCUGAGAGGGUGAACGGCCACAUUGGGACUGAGACACGGCCCAGACUCC
Molecule: ribosomal RNA, 276 nt
Filed under: uncultured Lachnospiraceae bacterium
Lineage: Bacteria; Bacillati; Bacillota; Clostridia; Lachnospirales; Lachnospiraceae
Description: partial 16S ribosomal RNA
Rfam family: Bacterial small subunit ribosomal RNA (bases 38-276)
Source: RNAcentral